This is a long non-coding RNA of Anguilla anguilla (European eel), 700 nucleotides long. RefSeq lists it as uncharacterized. NCBI's taxonomy places the organism in Eukaryota, Metazoa, Chordata, Actinopteri, Anguilliformes, Anguillidae. The transcript has 3 exons. The record is from RefSeq and is a predicted model, not a curated record.
GCUGAGACAAUUCAUUUUGUGCACAUUUAUUUGUGUUUCCUGGUUGGCAAAGAUUCUGUGUUUGUUUUCUUUCUGUGCUUACAAGAGGCCUGGUACCUGACAACCUGAGAAUGGCACAAUAUCUGUCCAGAUGGCAGAUUUGUUGCACAGAUUGCACAUUUGUCUCUGGUCUGAAUCAUUUGUUUGAGGGUGUGUGAUGGCACAAAUCUAUGGCAAAGUUGCUCUAUGGCUACACAAGAAGCUACAUCUAAGUGGUCAAAUGUAAUUAAGAACAGUGUACAGAUUGCAACUGAACCCAUCAGAAAAUACCUGCUGAACACAGUCCAGGAACAUCUGAAUGAAGAUGGAACCAUCAGGAGAUACACAUUUGGAAAAAAGGACUCCCAAAAAAGGAAAUGGGCAAUCCUAAUCAUGGGAGAAACAGGAACAGGACAGUCUUCACUCAUCAAUAUUAUGGUCAACUACAUGCUGGGGGUAAAGUGGGAAGACAAAAUCAGGUUUGAAAUCAUUCCAGAUGAAGGCACAAGACCCCAAACUGUAUCUCAAACCAGUCUGAUUACUGCCUAUGAGAUUUAUCGGCUGGGGGAACUGCCUGUUCCUUUUUCACUCACAGUCAGUGAUAUUGGAUUUGGAGACACAGGUGGGCUUGAGAAUGAUCAAAGAGUUUCUCUGAAUCUCUACAAGUUAUUUAAUUCCAUAA